UACGUAGGGUGCGAGCGUUGUCCGGAAUUACUGGGCGUAAAGCGAGUGUAGGCGGUUUGGUAAGUCGGAUGUGAAAGCCCCGGGCUCAACCCGGGAAGUGCACUCGAUACUGCCAAGCUAGAGUAUCGGAGAGGUUGGUGGAAUUCUCGGUGUAGAGGUGAAAUUCGUAGAUAUCGAGAGGAACACCGGUGGCGAAGGCGGCCAACUGGACGAAUACUGACGUGAGAACUCGAAAGCGUGGGGAGCAAACAGG
Molecule: ribosomal RNA, 253 nt
Filed under: uncultured bacterium
Lineage: Bacteria
Description: partial 16S ribosomal RNA
Rfam family: Bacterial small subunit ribosomal RNA
Source: RNAcentral